UAGGGAAUCUUCCACAAUGGACGCAAGUCUGAUGGAGCAACGCCGCGUGAGUGAAGAAGGUUUUCGGAUCGUAAAGCUCUGUUGUUGGUGAAGAAGGAUAGAGGCAGUAACUGGUCUUUAUUUGACGGUAAUCAACCAGAAAGUCACGGCUAACUACGUGCCAGCAGCCGCGGUAAUACGUAGGUGGCAAGCGUUGUCCGGAUUUAUUGGGCGUAAAGCGAGCGCAGGCGGAAUGAUAAGUCUGAUGUGAAAGCCCACGGCUCAACCGUGGAACUGCAUCGGAAACUGUCAUUCUUGAGUGCAGAAGAGGAGAGUGGAAUUCCAUGUGUAGCGGUGGAACGCGUAGAUAUAUGGAAGAACACCAGUGGCGAAGGCGGCUCUCUGGUCUGCAACUGACGCUGAGGCUCGAAAGCAUGGGCAGCGAACAGG
This 429-nucleotide ribosomal RNA is filed under the name bacterium. RNAcentral's name for it is "partial 16S ribosomal RNA". It matches the Rfam family "Bacterial small subunit ribosomal RNA", at positions 355 to 776 of the family's 1533-position model. The record is from RNAcentral.